UACGAAGGGUGCAAGCGUUACUCGGAAUUACUGGGCGUAAAGCGUGCGUAGGUGGUUCGUUAAGUCUGUCGUGAAAGCCCCGGGCUCAACCUGGGAAUGGCGAUGGAUACUGGCGGGCUAGAGUGCGGUAGAGGAGAGUGGAAUUCCCGGUGUAGCAGUGAAAUGCGUAGAGAUCGGGAGGAACAUCAGUGGCGAAGGCGACUUUCUGGACCAAUACUGACGCUCAGGUGCGAAAGCGUGGGGAGCAAACAGG
RNAcentral lists this ribosomal RNA (253 nucleotides) under uncultured bacterium. Its description in RNAcentral is "partial 16S ribosomal RNA". It matches the Rfam family "Bacterial small subunit ribosomal RNA", at positions 524 to 776 of the family's 1533-position model. The record is from RNAcentral.